Molecule: ribosomal RNA, 255 nt
Filed under: uncultured bacterium
Lineage: Bacteria
Description: partial 16S ribosomal RNA
Rfam family: Bacterial small subunit ribosomal RNA
Source: RNAcentral
CGUAGGGUGCAAGCGUUAUCCGGAAUUAUUGGGCGUAAAGAGCUCGUAGGCGGUUUGUCGCGUCUGCUGUGAAAACUGGGGGCUCAACCCCCAGCCUGCAGUGGGUACGGGCAGACUAGAGUGCGGUAGGGGAGAUUGGAAUUCCUGGUGUAGCGGUGGAAUGCGCAGAUAUCAGGAGGAACACCGAUGGCGAAGGCAGAUCUCUGGGCCGUAACUGACGCUGAGGAGCGAAAGGGUGGGGGAGCAAACAGGCUU